This 891-nucleotide non-coding RNA is filed under the name Distolasterias nipon. The record is from RNAcentral. Lineage: Eukaryota; Metazoa; Echinodermata; Asteroidea; Forcipulatida; Asteriidae.
AGAUUUGGUCCUAGUCUUUUUAUUGACUUUUCCUAUAAUGAUACAUGCAAGCCUGUUAACAAUACUGUGAGUAAGAUUAGCUAAUCCCUUUCCAGGGAAACGCCACGUAGUAUCAGAAACCAAGUCAGGAUCAAAUACACUUAGACACCCACAACUGCAGUACUUAAAAUUAUACAAUAAGCGAAAGCUUGAUAUAGUAAUAGGAAAGAACUUCCGGUUAAUUAUGUGCCAGCCACCGCGGUUAUACAUAAGGUAAUAGCCAAUAAUAUCCGGUAAAAAUUGUGGUAAGAAAAUAUCUCCAUGAAAUAAAGAUAACCUUCAGCAGUAACAAGCUAACAGCCCUUAAGUUACAAUUACAAAAACCUAAUUUCAAUUCUUUCUCAACCCACUAAAGCUCUGCCAUAAACUGGGAUUAGAUACCCCAUUAUAGGAGCUGUAAAACACCCACACACCCGAGAACUACGAGCGAAAGCUUAAAACUCAAAGGACUUGGCGGUUUUCUAAUCCUUCCUGGAGGAGCUUGCUAUCUAACCGAUAAUCCACGUAACACCUUACCAACUUUUGAAUACUACAGCCUGUAUACCAUCGUCGUCAGUUUACUUCCCAAGAAAUGUAAACAAGAAGAAUAUAACAACCUCUCAACGUCAGAUCGAGGUGCAGCUAAUAAGUUGGGGAUAAGUGAGCUACAAUAGUAUAACAAAUAUAAAUUAUAUAAAUGAAUAACAGGUUGAUACAACCAGUUUGAAACAGGAUUCAGCAGUAAUGAGUAAAAGAAAAUACUCGUGAACAUCCUUUAAGCUCUAGAAUGCGCACACAUCGCCCGUCACUCUCGUCAUCAGAGGAGAAAAGUCGUAACAAAGUAGGCGUAUUGGAAAAUGUGCCUGGAAUAAA